CCCGUGCGGCGGCACCCCACCGAACUCCCCCAGGGCCGGAAGGCAGCAAGGGCAGGUGAGCUCUACCGGGUGCGCGGGAGG
RNAcentral lists this signal recognition particle RNA (81 nucleotides) under fish gut metagenome. Its description in RNAcentral is "Bacterial small signal recognition particle RNA". It matches the Rfam family "Bacterial small signal recognition particle RNA", at positions 9 to 85 of the family's 97-position model. From Rfam's summary of the family: The signal recognition particle (SRP) is a universally conserved ribonucleoprotein involved in the co-translational targeting of proteins to membranes. The record is from RNAcentral.